AGAGUUUGAUCCUGGCUCAGGACGAACGCUGGCGGCGUGCUUAACACAUGCAAGUCGAACGGAAAGGCCCUUUCGGGGGUACUCGAGUGGCGAACGGGUGAGUAACACGUGGGUGAUCUGCCCUGCACUUUGGGAUAAGCCUGGGAAACUGGGUCUAAUACCGAAUACACCUUGCUGGCUGCAUGGCCUGGUGGGGGAAAGCUUUUGCGGUGUGGGAUGGGCCCGCGGCCUAUCAGCUUGUUGGUGGGGUGAUGGCCUACCAAGGCGACGACGGGUAGCCGGCCUGAGAGGGUGUCCGGCCACACUGGGACUGAGAUACGGCCCAGACUCCUACGGGAGGCAGCAGUGGGGAAUAUUGCACAAUGGGCGCAAGCCUGAUGCAGCGACGCCGCGUGAGGGAUGACGGCCUUCGGGUUGUAAACCUCUUUCAGUAUCGACGAAGCGCAAGUGACGGUAGGUACAGAAGAAGCACCGGCCAACUACGUGCCAGCAGCCGCGGUAAUACGUAGGGUGCGAGCGUUGUCCGGAAUUACUGGGCGUAAAGAGCUCGUAGGUGGUUUGUCGCGUUGUUCGUGAAAACUCACAGCUCAACUGUGGGCGUGCGGGCGAUACGGGCAGACUGGAGUACUGCAGGGGAGACUGGAAUUCCUGGUGUAGCGGUGGAAUGCGCGAUAUCAGGAGGAACACCGGUGGCGAAGGCGGGUCUCUGGGCAGUAACUGACGCUGAGGAGCGAAAGCGUGGGGAGCGAACAGGAUUAGAUACCCUAGUAGUCC
This 774-nucleotide ribosomal RNA is filed under the name uncultured bacterium. Its description in RNAcentral is "bacterial SSU rRNA". It matches the Rfam family "Bacterial small subunit ribosomal RNA", at positions 8 to 796 of the family's 1533-position model. The record is from RNAcentral.